AUGAUAGGAAAUGAGGGGAAGAGAGGAAGGGAAAACAAAUCCUGCUCACACUUCCUUUGAAAAUGCAACUCAACAGACUUUCUCUUCCUAUUUCAGCCAUUUUAGAAUUGCACUGCCUAGGCCUGAUCUAAUUUUCCUGCUGGAGAAGUUAAGGCACUUCCUCCACAGUUACUAAAUCUGACAAAUUACACCUGGGUCCACUCUAACGUGAAAAAAUGUGUUCUUUGUUCCUGACCCUUUGGUCAGCCUAGAGAUCAAAUUCCUGGACAUUGGAAAGCCCCACUCAUAUUCAUUAAAAGCCACGGGAGACCAGCUCUGUAUUUCUGUUCAAGAGAAGAACAAGGUGCAGGCUUUCGCUGAACAAUACAACUGCUCUGCUCCAGUCGGUGCAAUAUAGACCUUUCACUUUCUGCAGCUUGGCUGCUGAUCAAUUAGUAUGUGGAUUUUUUUUUUUUCUGCACAGUAUCUUAGUAUCAAAACAGCAAAAGAAGAGCCUAGUCCCACGAGUAAGUUUACCCCAAAUUGCUUGUGUUAAAAAGCUGGCUACAGAUUCAGUAAUCAAAAAUACAAAGAUGAUUUCAAAACUCUACCUUACCUCUACCCAGCCAGACAUGCCAUUAGUUACCACAGGGGCUAGUAUUUGACAGAUUAGAAUUUUGUUCCCUUUCUAACCAUACUCAGCCUUUGAGAAAGAUGUUACAGAGCUGAGAGUGAGUCACAAAGACAAAAUUGGGCACCACUGGUGGCAGAGAAUCAAUUUUAGGUAUGCAAGCAAUCCACAAGCUCUCCCAUGGUACGAAGUAUGUAUGAGGCUGACCCACCUGCCUGACAACAAAAAACCUUCUUCUUCUGCACUCCCAAAAAAGAAUGAGAAAAAAACAACAAUAGGAGAAGUGAAGCAAAUCUGUGGCUGAACUGUUAAAAAGAUGCCUGAUGCCUUUCUUCCAGAUUCUUGGAAGAAUGAGAUGGUGAAGGAAUACAUACAGAUGCCAUAAAACCUGCCUUAAGGCCUCCUGAGGCAAUGGAACAGGGUACUAAUGAGAAGGGAAAGAGCUUGUCCUGUAAGCACGGACACCCUCAUACUUCAACCCCUCUGGCCCUGAUGAAAAGAACUACCAAAGGACGAAGAAAGAACUGCCAUGCCAAGCUUCUUGAUCUUUCCUCCUUCUGUCAUGGGAGAAGGAGUCUCCAUAAUUACCUUAGUAAAAUCAUGUAUAAACUAUUUCUAAGAAAUAAAACCCUUCUUAAAAUUUAAGUUCCUCUCUGAUACCUUAUACUAUG
This 1281-nucleotide long non-coding RNA is filed under the name Homo sapiens (human). RNAcentral describes it as "HSALNT0173604". Lineage: Eukaryota; Metazoa; Chordata; Mammalia; Primates; Hominidae. The record is from RNAcentral.